UGUUGCAGCUGUUUGGACUGCUGCAGCUGCAAUCCAUAGAGAGAAAAAUACUGUAGAAGCCGCAGCCGCAGCCGGAUUGCAGCCGCAGCAAGCCGCAGCGAACAAGCUGUUUAUCCAUGGGCGUCGAACAACAGAGACACAAGCCUGCCAAACCAAACCAGCCUUCCGCCGGAUUGGAAACUACCAGAUGCUACCAGCGCUACUAAUCCAGCGUCUCCCACCGUAGGAAUCUCUCAAUUAGCGACCCGUGUCCUGUUGCACAAUUAUAUAGCCACCAUUUGAGAAGAUAGGGGGGAGGUGGAGCAGAGCGCAAGGAGAGGGGACAAGGAGGGACGGGAAGGGGAAUAAGCUGAGGGGAAGGCAAGGCAAGCAGGAAUCGGCUGGGUUGCGCGCCGACUUCCUGGCCGAGUUUUUCUAGCCAUCGGAUCGAGGCAGUCCCAUCGGCGAAGACCCGGUUCCGUUCGGCGGCCAUGCGGUUGGUUUCUCUGCUUGGUCUGUCAGGACUCUGAUGGGCAUGGUUCAUCCUAGGUUUCUGGUUGCUUGCUCGGGGUCCAAGCUGUGCUUCAUCUCCAGUUGCCGCGGUAGCAGCGCAAAGAUGAUGAUGUCCUUUCUCCGGAGGCGUCCGGAGCGUCGUUCCACGCUUCCUAUAUUGAUUGAGUUCGGUAGAUGAUUCUUGGACAUCGGUUUGGUGUUCGGUGGGGCUCAAAUACGGAUUCUGAAGGACUUCAAAGGUGCUUGAAUCAGUACAUCUUAGGUGCUAUCCCAGACUAGGCUGCGAUGGGUUUACCCCAACCUUCAACAGUCGAGGAUGAUGCGCCAACAGCACUGCGCACCUCUAUUUCUUGCCCUCCACAUUCUGGAGGAGUUAGUGCCUGUGAUUUGGAUGGGCUUCCUGCGGGAAGCUCUAGCAGAAGGGUGCUUUCGUACCCAUUGAUAUGUGAUUUUGAUAGAAAGGCCACAUUAGAUGCUCCUAAUGAAUCAAAUGGGUAUUCUAAAGACGGAUGUGAAUUUGGCGAACCCGCAGACCUCCAUGGACUAAACAUUGAUUCAAGAAAUACAAAUUCUUGGUCUUCUCCUAAAUUAGUGCCUUCUGUCCAUAUGCCGGCAAGGAGGGUUGUGGGCUUUGAUUCUGGUUGUAUUGGAGGUUCUGAUGGGGCAGAAACGGAUAUGGUCGAUUCAUCUUUGGUCGACAGAAAUUCUCAUUUGCCAUUUGAUCAGCAUGAACUUCAAGCAAGGAAAAGACUGUUCUCUCCAUUGAAAAAUGUGCUCGUUAAACAGUUCAAUGGUGAUAUGCUCAACCUUCCUUCUGGUGAUUCUAGAUUUAGGCAUUCUGAUUCAGCCGAUAAACUAUACAGUACUGGUUUCCAAGAUAAUAAAAAAGCCAACACGGGAUGCAUCAAUUUUUUUGAAACGCGGGAUACUCCAGCCUCUAGGUGCUCCAGCCGGAGCCCAGAAUGGGAUGUUACUAGGAGCAAUUCUAAUUCAUUCACUGAUGGUCCUUUACUUGGGAGCAAGGAUUAUAUAUCCUAUUAUGAUCAUCUAGCAGCUAGUGCAAAAUUAGCGCACUCUCCGCUUUCUCUGUCUCCUCUCAGCCCUAAAUAUAUGAACAAAAUUAAAGUGACAGGAUCUCAAAGAUAUAUAAUGAAAGAUCUUGAGGAUGACUUCCUAGAUUUAAAGGAAACUGGAGGUUCUGGCGGAGCUAGGAUGCCGGAGGUAUCAAAAGGAUCUAACUUGUUACAUGAUGAACUUGAUGUUAUGACACCUAAAUGGGGUUCAUUGAGAAGAUAUCAAAAUUGGGGCCCUGAAUCUUCCCCUACAUCUCCCAGAAUUGGUUAUGGUCGGAGUUUGUCUUUGCAUGUAAGGAGGUCACUUGUUGGCUCCUUUGAGGAGUCUCUUUUAUCUGGUCGAUACUCGUAUGGAAAAGACAGUCAGACAAUUGAUGGUUUCUUAGCUGUUCUAAAUGUCACUGGUGGUAGUUUCUUCCCCACAACUCAGAAACUUCCAUUCUCAGUAACAAGCAUCGAUGAGGAUAGCUCCUUACUAUACUAUUCUUCUAUUGAUCUUGCUGGGAGGUUGCCUUCGAAUAACACCAAAAGCCCAAAGCUCCAAAGAAGCUACAGUAAUAAUGAUUCGCGGUCAGCAAAGAGUCGUUUACGCAUCCCUGUUAAGGGUCGCAUACAGCUGGUGGUAAGCAACCCAGAGAAGACUCCACUUCAUACUUUCUUCUGCAACUAUGACUUGAGUGACAUGCCUCCUGGAACCAAGACUUUCGUGCGGCAAAAGGUCACUCUCUCCCCCUCUGCCUUGCCUUCUAAUCCAGUGGAAGAAGGAAGCAAGACUUGUGAUGUUAAUUCUGGUCACAAAUCUUCUCAGUCAGUUUCAUGUGGAAAUGAACCUAGCGAACGGGGAGCUCGUUCUGAAUGCUGCAACGGUGGACAGAACUGCAACUCAAAUGAUGAAUCAGAAAAAGGAGAUCUGAAAACAAGAUGUCGAUCAUUGGAUAGUGAUUCUAAUGAAUCAAAUAAGUCUAGUUCUCCAGGAAAUAAGAAAGACCAGUCUGAUUCUGAUGGUUGCUGCUGUCAAAUGGAUAAGUUUGGCAUGGGAGAAAAGAAAUCAUGCUGCUCACCUUCUAAGAUCAAUGAUAGUUCAGGUGGAGCUGUGCUUCGUUAUGCUUUGCACCUGCGAUUUCUGUGCCCCUCCAAGAAAAAAUCCUCGAAAUCAAUGCUUCGUUGCAAAUCUGAUCUAUCAACGGCACCAUAUAGCAGCAAUACGCUACCUGAGGAAGAACGGAGGUUCUAUCUCUACAAUGAUCUUAGAGUUGUAUUUCCUCAAAGGCACUCAGAUGCAGAUGAAGGCGAGCUGCGAGUGGAGCAUGAUUUCCCCGCCGAUCCCAAGUACUUUGACAUAAGCAACUGAUGGUUGCGCUGCUGCACCGGACAAUAAUAAUCUGUAAAUAUGUUAUCAUGACUAACUUGGUCACCAGCCGUUUCAUCUUUUCACCAACAAAUGUACAGGUACUGGGAUCGCCAUUGGGUCCUCGAUCCUCGUUGGGGUUAGGCACGGAGAAAAUUCCUUCUCUGUGGUAGGGAACAAGGACAAGGGUGCAUGGAUUUUCUUCAAAGGUCUUGUUUAGAUACUCUAGUAUGCAUCACAAUCCACAGGUCUUGUUUAGAUACUCUAGUAUGCAUCACAAUCCACAUAUGUUGAGGUGCAUUGGAAUGUAAAAUUAAAUUAAUUUAUACUCCAAUCCAUAUCAAUACAUAUGGAUUUGGGUGGAUACUAGAGUACCCAAACAAAGCAUAAAUGGGGCGGUUACGAGGAGACAUUCCUAGCAGGAAUUUCCCUUUUUCAUCUCGAAUUACCCUAAGAUGGGUAAGAGUUUGAA
This is an RNA transcript of Zea mays, 3385 nucleotides long. RefSeq lists it as uncharacterized. The record is from RefSeq and is marked validated. Lineage: Eukaryota; Viridiplantae; Streptophyta; Magnoliopsida; Poales; Poaceae. The transcript is spliced from 8 exons.